Molecule: ribosomal RNA, 446 nt
Filed under: uncultured bacterium
Lineage: Bacteria
Description: partial 16S ribosomal RNA
Rfam family: Bacterial small subunit ribosomal RNA
Source: RNAcentral
GCCCAGACUCCUACGGGAGGCAGCAGUGGGGAAUAUUGCACAAUGGGGGAAACCCUGAUGCAGCAACGCCGCGUGAGUGAAGAAGUAUUUCGGUAUGUAAAGCUCUCUCAGCAGGGAAGAAAAUGACAGUACCUGACUAAGAAGCCCCGGCUAACUACGUGCCAGCAGCCGCGGUAAUACGUAGGGGGCAAGCGUUAUCCGGAUUUACUGGGUGUAAAGGGGGCGCAGACGGCAGCGCAAGCCAGGAGUGAAAGCCCGGGGCCCAACCCCGGGACUGCUCUUGGAACUGCGCGGCUGGAGUGCAGGAGGGGCAGGCGGAAUUCCUGGUGUAGCGGUGAAAUGCGUAGAUAUCAGGAGGAACACCGGUGGCGAAGGCGGCCUACUGGACUGCGACUGACGUUGAGGCCCGAAAGCGUGGGGAGCAAACAGGAUUAGAUACCCCUGUA